Molecule: ribosomal RNA, 301 nt
Filed under: uncultured bacterium
Lineage: Bacteria
Description: partial 16S ribosomal RNA
Rfam family: Bacterial small subunit ribosomal RNA
Source: RNAcentral
CAGUCGCCGCGGGAAUACGAAGGGGGCUAGCGUUGCUCGGAAUCACUGGGCGUAAAGGGUGCGUAGGCGGGUCUUUAAGUCAGGGGUAAAAUCCUGGAGCUCAACUCCAGAACUGCCUUUGAUACUGAAGAUCUUGAGUUCGGGAGAGGUGAGUGGAACUGCGAGUGUAGAGGUGAAAUUCGUAGAUAUUCGCAAGAACACCAGUGGCGAAGGCGGCUCACUGGCCCGAUACUGACGCUGAGGCACGAAAGCGUGGGGAGCAAACAGGAUUAGAUACCCCCGUAGUCCCUGUCUCUUAUAC